ACAACGGAGAGUUUGAUCCUGGCUCAGGACUAACGCUGGCGGCGUGCCUAACACAUGCAAGUCAAGGAGAACGUUUCCUUCGGGGAACUAUUAAACUGGCGGACGGGUGAGUAAUGCAUAGGUAACCUGCCCUGGAGACUGGGAUAACUUCGCGAAAGCGAUGCUAAUACCGGAUAAUGCAGCGGACCCUAAGGGGUACAGUUGUUAAAGCGGGCUUCGGCUCGUACUUCAGGAUGGGCCUAUGUCCGAUUAGCUUGUUGGUGAGGUAAAAGCUCACCAAGGCUAUGAUCGGUAGCUGGUCUGAGAGGAUGAUCAGCCACACUGGGAUUGAGAUACGGCCCAGACUCCUACGGGAGGCAGCAGUGGGGAAUUUUGCGCAAUGGGGGAAACCCUGACGCAGCAACGCCGCGUGACCGAUGAAGCUU
Molecule: ribosomal RNA, 425 nt
Filed under: Fidelibacterota bacterium
Lineage: Bacteria; Pseudomonadati; Fidelibacterota
Description: bacterial SSU rRNA
Rfam family: Bacterial small subunit ribosomal RNA
Source: RNAcentral